Lepus europaeus (European hare) is the source of this 425-nucleotide non-coding RNA. RefSeq annotates it as small Cajal body-specific RNA 2. The transcript has a single exon. NCBI's taxonomy places the organism in Eukaryota, Metazoa, Chordata, Mammalia, Lagomorpha, Leporidae. The record is from RefSeq and is a predicted model, not a curated record.
AGAGAACGGGAAGAGAGCGGCCUUGGGUGAGGCGUGUGCGUGCUGUGCAUGUGUGUCGCGUGGGAGGCACGUGUGGGCCGAGGCACGAGUGGAUGCGUGGAUGUGUGUGCGCGCGCGCGUGUUGCGUGCAAGGCGAGUGAGUGCGCCCACCCCUGCGCCCCUCUCCCCUCCUUACACCUUGAUCUUAUUUGAUCGGGCAGUGACCCCAGCCUCGCCGGGGCCGUCCCGAAAUGAAAAGCUCUCCUCCUGUGAAGCCCCCUCUCUGGGGGCGCUGUGCAGCGAGGCCCUUGGGCGGCGGCACCGCCGCGGUCCCCGAGGUCCCGGAGCUGGUCCGACGGGGCCGGCGCUCAGACGUGAUGAAUUGAUCAGAUAGACGAGGCUGGGCUUGUCCCGAGCUGCUGAUUAUCGAGGCAAUUCUGAUCUAA